AGCUCAAAGGACUUGACUCUCAUCUCGAGUGUGCUAAUGAAGUUCCCUUGUGCGACAAAUGGGGCAGAUCAGUUCUGUUUGGAAGAAUGAAAAUGACAGCUAAGUGGUGUGAUCUAACUGACACAGGGAAAGAAGCUGAAAUUGACCACUCAGGAAAUGAGGCCCUGCAGGAGCAGCCAAAGAUGUAACAGAAGAAUCCAUAACAGAAGAUGACAAGAGGAGAAACUAUGGAGGAGUAUAUGUUGGCCUACCAUCUGAAGCUGUCAAUAUGGUGUCCAGUCAAACAAAGAUGGUUCGGAAAAAUUAGAAGAAAAUAACAUCAUGACUCAAGAAUCAAGAGCUUGCUCAUCAGUUUGGAAGGAAUUUGGCUCCGUGGGACAUUGUAAUGUGCACAGACAUUUCCAAGGAAAUUCUAAACAGUCACCCUUCCCUUUUGCAUUCCCCCAAAUCUUAAGUGUAUACAUAAAACCCUGGGUACAUAUUGUUGUGGUAAUAGAAGGGAAUUGGUUAAACAGUACACUUGUUUAUGGAACUUUCUGUGGCCACCUACGAAAGACAAGUUAACAAACUGUCAUGGAGGCUGUUGUUGCCCAGCCAGGGCCGCUGCAUUUUGACAACAUUUCCACCCUGGCCACUCAGCACAUUUCAUGGAGGUCAUGUCUUUUCACUGAUACUUUUUUGAUAGUUUUUAUAUAACAAAAUCCUUAUUCUAUUUAUAACUUAGGAUGAUAAGGCACUAUAAAUUAAUGACCUAAAAUAAUAUAUUUGUCUGUUAACUUUCGCUAUUUCUACUUCACUUUAAUUUUUAGCUGUAAAAUUGGUAAAUGGAUUCUUACAACUAUCUCUUUCCAUUUUUUACUAUUUGGUUUUCAAAUUUCAUUUAAAUG
This 887-nucleotide small RNA is filed under the name Pan troglodytes (chimpanzee). Its description in RNAcentral is "processed transcript". The record is from RNAcentral. Lineage: Eukaryota; Metazoa; Chordata; Mammalia; Primates; Hominidae.